RNAcentral lists this ribosomal RNA (118 nucleotides) under Saimiri boliviensis boliviensis (Bolivian squirrel monkey). Lineage: Eukaryota; Metazoa; Chordata; Mammalia; Primates; Cebidae. The record is from RNAcentral.
GUCUAUGGCCACACCACCCUGAACGCGCCUGAUCUCGUCUGAUCUCGGAAGCUAAGCAGGGUUGGCCUGGUUAGUAAUGGGAUGGGAGACCGCCUGGAAAUACUGGGUGCUGUAGGCA